Molecule: long non-coding RNA, 266 nt
Filed under: Hordeum vulgare
Lineage: Eukaryota; Viridiplantae; Streptophyta; Magnoliopsida; Poales; Poaceae
Description: long non-coding RNA (HVUL_LNC009357)
Source: RNAcentral
ACUUGAUGAAAUUAAGAUACAACAUGCUGAUACAACUUGCUGAAAUUAAGAUACAACUUGCUCAUACAACUUGCUGAAAUUAAGAUACAACUUGCUGAAUUUAAGAUUCAAAAUUUUUAGGAUACAAUAAAUAAAUAUACUGAGUCCAACGUGGAUAUUUUCCUUUUCCAUCGCUGGCUUCUUCUGUUGCCUUGGCCGCACGAGCCCUUUCUCUCUUUCUCUCCCUCUCAGCUUCACGGGUCUGUUCCCGCUGUCUAUAAACCUCC